AUUGAACGCUGGCGGCAGGCCUAACACAUGCAAGUCGAACGGCAGCACAGAAGAGCUUGCUCUUUGGGUGGCGAGUGGCGGACGGGUGAGUAACACGUAGGAAUCUACCCAGUAGUGGGGGAUAACCUGGGGAAACCCAGGCUAAUACCGCAUACGCCCUGAGGGGGAAAGCGGGGGAUCUUCGGACCUCGCGCUAUUGGAUGAGCCUGCGUCGGAUUAGCUAGUUGGUGGGGUAAGGGCCCACCAAGGCGACGAUCCGUAGCUGGUCUGAGAGGAUGACCAGUCACACCGGAACUGAGACACGGUCCGGACUCCUACGGGAGGCAGCAGUGGGGAAUAUUGGACAAUGGGCGCAAGCCUGAUCCAGCCAUGCCGCGUGGGUGAAGAAGGCCUCGGUUGUAAGUUAC
RNAcentral lists this ribosomal RNA (407 nucleotides) under uncultured bacterium. RNAcentral describes it as "bacterial SSU rRNA". It matches the Rfam family "Bacterial small subunit ribosomal RNA", at positions 29 to 433 of the family's 1533-position model. The record is from RNAcentral.